Molecule: ribosomal RNA, 630 nt
Filed under: uncultured Methanomicrobiales archaeon
Lineage: Archaea; Methanobacteriati; Methanobacteriota; Methanomicrobia; Methanomicrobiales
Description: bacterial SSU rRNA
Rfam family: Archaeal small subunit ribosomal RNA
Source: RNAcentral
UACUCCAUAGUUUGUGCUGACUGGAAUGUUACGCAAACGAAAGAUCCGUCGCUUUAGGAUGAGUCUGCGGCCGAUUAGGUAGUUGUUGGGGUAACGGCCCAACAAGCCUGUCAUCGGUACGGGUUGUGGGAGCAAGAGCCCGGAGAUGGAUUCUGAGACACGAAUCCAGGCCCUACGGGGCGCAGCAGGCGCGAAAACUUUACCAUGCGGGCAACCGUGAUAAGGAAACCCCGAGUGCCAGCACAGGCUGGCUGUCCGCCAGUGUAAAUAACUGGUGAAGAAAGGGCCGGGCAAGACCGGUGCCAGCCGCCGCGGUAAUACCGGCGGCUCGAGUGGUGGCCGCUAUUACUGGGCUUAAAGGGUCCGUAGCUGGAUGUACAAGUCCCUUGAGAAAUCCGCCGGCUUAACUGGCGGGCGUUCAGGGGAAACUGUAUUUCUAGGGACCGGGAGAGGUGGGAGGUACUGCCGGGGUAGGAGUGAAAUCCUGUAAUCCCGGUGGGACCACCUAUGGCGAAGGCAUCUCACCAGAACGGGUCCGACAGUGAGGGACGAAAGCUGGGGGAGCAAACCGGAUUAGAUACCCGGGUAGUCCCAGCUGUAAACGAUGCGCGUUAGGUGUGUCAGUGACCA